UUAAACUAUCUGGUAUCUGAAUUUUCCAAUUUUUCAAAUUUUUAAUAAUAGAAAUCCCCCAAUCCUCUAAUAAUCUAACAUUCCACUUUUCGAUCGAACCAAGAAAAAUCGAAUCACGGAUACAAUGCAACUCGAUGUCGCAAAACUAAUUCAAAGUUCGAUAAUUGAUAUCUGGCUGUCGGCCCAGGCCAGUUCUUCUAGUCAAUAACGAGAGAUUAGUGUGAGAAGGAGCUCGAUACAACGAAACCGUGGGCUGGAUUCUUUAUUUUCAAAUUUCGUUAGGAGAAAAAGAAGAAAAAAAAAAAAAGAAAAAAGAAAAAAAAGAACGAAACGGGACCACGGCAAGUUUCUAUGAAUCGAAUGGCAAAAAAAACGAACGAAAAACGAGAGCGGUUGUCUGAAGAAAAGAGAAAAAAAGACUCACUAUUUUUACAUUUCUCUUUUUUUAACCCUCCCCCCUCGAUUAAUCGACGAGAUUGAUCGUCGACUAAUGAGUUUUUUAGCCACGCGUAAGAAAAAUAAAAAAAGAAUCAUCUUCUAUAUAUACAUAGAAUGUAUAUGUAUAAAAAUUAUAUAUAUAUUGUGAAAAUAUUUUAGAUAAGAGAAAAUACACGCGUUUCUGCACAGUAUAAUUCUGUCUGACAGUAGAUAGUGUCUAUCGACUAAACAAUGCCGCGUAUGGUUGCAACGAUAGCAACCACAACUGUGUUCUACAUGUCAAUAACGUGUUACUGUACGUACGUACGAUUUCAGAAUUUUCGUUUCGUUUAGUAGCAAAAAAAAAAGUUCUCUUUCCGUCGCUGUGAAUAAAACGAGAGAUCUCUAAGUUCCGCUCGAUCUGAGAAUUUACGGAUGAAAUAGGAAAUGUGUGUUUCGUUCAAAUUUCAUUACCAUUCGUCGUAGGUUAUCAUUCCGUUAAAACUCGUUAAAUUAUCGAAUCUUCGAUUCAAAUUCAAAUUUCUUGAAAUUUUCUAUUCUCAGUCUGCCACACUUCAAGCGACUCUUAACUUUCUGAUUGUCUAAUUUGACAAUCCGGGGAUCUAAGAUCCUUGGGCGAAUAUUUUUUGAUCGUUUCGACGUUCUCCUUUUCAUAUCUCUGAUCCGUAAUACGCUGUUUUUGGAUAAUCUAUCGAUCUACGGAUUUAGAAUGUUGCAAAACGAUCGAAAUGCCUAAAUUUUUUUCUCUGUUUGUCUCACUGUUCGAUGCUUGGAUGGCGGCGCAGCGUCUGCGUCGUCUGUACAGGGCGAGUCAAAAGUCGUGCAAUUCCGAGGAAAAUCUCCCAACGAAGAUUGUAUCAUAGUUAGAAAUAAGCCACGCGACGAAAUCAAUGUUCUGGCAUAGUCGAUAAUAAGAAUGAUCGAAAAUCGGAGCCUGGUGCGAUCGUUCGAUCAGUAACAACAAGUUAUAGCUUUAAUCACUAGAAUCUGGUGAUUUUCUCGCGUAUAUCGACAGACUGCGCAUUU
Molecule: long non-coding RNA, 1464 nt
Organism: Frieseomelitta varia
Lineage: Eukaryota; Metazoa; Arthropoda; Insecta; Hymenoptera; Apidae
Exons: 2
Source: RefSeq, a predicted model, not a curated record